CGGAAAAUUAAAGUUCGGGGAGAAGUUUCAAACUUGCGUUAUAGAAUACAACAAAACAUGAAAUAAUUGAGAAGGAAAUAACUGACAUAGAAGGUUUCUUUAAAAUCAUUUCUUAAAUAUAAGCUCACAUCACUCUUUCCUUUAAAAAAAUCUUCCAUAAUUUUCUUAAAAUAAUUCAUCACUUUUGCUACACACUGGAUAUUCUGUAUAAAGCCAUAUUUUGGAUAAUGUAAUUUUGUAGAGUAAUAUAGAACUACCAUUUAACUACUACAUUUUCUAAAUAUAAAACUAAAAUAAUUUUAUAACUUGUCCAACAAAUUACACCAAAGAUACAAUUCAUUGAGACUACUAACUGGUAAAACAUACAGAUGAUGCAAAAGUCUUUUAAUUCAAGUUUUUACAUUCAAGUUGAAGAGAUUUUAGGUCUUUUAAGUCUUUAGCACAAAAGUUUAAGAGCGCCAAGAUUCCACCUUGAACCUAAAACGUUAAGGCCAUGCCUUACAUUUCUAUAAAAUUUAAAUUACAUUAAAGAAGCUCAAAAUAUUAUAUUUACCCACAAAAUCUGUUUUAGUACACCCUCAAAUUCUCCGGCAUUACCUAGUGAUUCUUUUUAGCACAAUGUGUCAUGUCUGGAUGGUAGAAACAAGCUUAAGUCAGAGAAGAAGAAAUUAUAUCUUUGUUCCCUCUUUACAGACAAAAGCACUAUCCAGCUGAAUUCCAAUUAGAAAUGUGUGUGUGUGUGUGUGUGUGUGCGUGUGUGGGUGUCCUUGUUUGUAUUUAAGUACAUGUAUGCAUCUCUGUUUUUCAUUCCCAAAAGGAAACAUUUCCUCUCCAGGAUUUGACUAUAGGUAUUUAAAGUAUUUCCAAGAAUUCAGGCUCUACUAAUCCUUACAACCUCUAUCCUCAACUCCUAGGAAAUGACGUUUUGUGUUGGUAUGCUCAGCCACACAGGAAAAGACGGCAAAGCAUCAGGAUUUUCGCAGUACCCGCUUACUAGAUUUGGCAGCCCCAUUUUACAUAGGGAAUAAAGUUUGUUUAAAUAAGGUAAGAAUCACUGUUGAACAUGGAUGCCUGGCCUCAAAACAAUGAACAUGUAUAAUGGGAGUAAGAAAUUGAGGACUUCAGAGAUGGAACAACACACAUGAGCGCUGAAUACCACGGUAUCUGUUCAUUUUAUAGAUAAUCUAGCAUAUAAUCCCU
RNAcentral lists this long non-coding RNA (1200 nucleotides) under Sus scrofa (pig). Its description in RNAcentral is "lncRNA (ENSSSCG00065059999.1)". Lineage: Eukaryota; Metazoa; Chordata; Mammalia; Artiodactyla; Suidae. The record is from RNAcentral.